UGCCUGAAAGCAGGGGGAAGGGUUCCCUCCCCUCCCAGCAGAGUGCGGAGACUGCAGCUAGGAGCCGGGGGAGACAGCAGGCUCCGGGUCAGGCCUUCCCCUGCUGCGAGUGCUGGAGCUACAGGCGUGGGGAGCAAAGCCUCAGGGAUAAGGGUAACUUGUGACUGUCCCAGACAGCACUUCACUCAUCUGGGCUGAACUGAACAGUAGUUUAUCAAAAAGGCAAACAAAGAGGCCUACCAAACAAGAUUAAAGAUCUGAUGGAACAGUCAAAAGAAGAGAGAAUGUUUUUUGUGGGACUUCAGUCAUAAAACAGAAGGGAAGAUACUUAUAUAAGAAAACAAAUAUUCAAUUGUACUGUUUUAAAGAGGUCUUUAAAAAUUAA
Alligator sinensis (Chinese alligator) is the source of this 385-nucleotide long non-coding RNA. RefSeq lists it as uncharacterized. The transcript is spliced from 2 exons. The record is from RefSeq and is a predicted model, not a curated record. Lineage: Eukaryota; Metazoa; Chordata; Crocodylia; Alligatoridae.